Molecule: ribosomal RNA, 449 nt
Filed under: uncultured bacterium
Lineage: Bacteria
Description: partial 16S ribosomal RNA
Rfam family: Bacterial small subunit ribosomal RNA
Source: RNAcentral
GUGGGGAAUCUUCCGCAAUGGACGAAAGUCUGACGGAGCGACGCCGCGUGAGUGAUGAAGGCCUUCGGGUCGUAAAGCUCUGUCAUCGGGGACGAACGGCCUCAGCAGGUAAUGGCUGGGGAUUGACGGUACCCGAGAAGGAAGCCACGGCUAACUACGUGCCAGCAGCCGCGGUAAUACGUAGGUGGCAAGCGUUGUCCGGAAUUCUUGGGCGUAAAGAGCGCGCAGGUGGGAUCUUAAGUCCAUUUUGAAAGUUCGGAGCUCAACUCCGUGAUGGGAUGGAAACUGGGAUUCUUGAGUACCGGAGAGGAAAGCGGAAUUCCCCGUGUAGCGGUGAAAUGCGUAGAUAUGGGGAGGAACACCAGUGGCGAAGGCGGCUUUCUGGACGGUGUCUGACACUGAGGCGCGAAAGCCAGGGGAGCGAACGGGAUUAGAUACCCUGGUAGUCC